UACGUAGGGGGCAAGCGUUGUCCGGAUUUACUGGGCGUAAAGCGCGUGUAGGCGGUUGAGUAAGUCUGCUGUGAAAUCUCCGGGCUUAACCUGGAGGGGUCGGUGGGAACUGCUCGACUUGAGGACGGUAGAAGGGGGUGGAAUUCCCGGUGUAGUGGUGAAAUGCGUAGAGAUCGGGAGGAACACCAGCGGCGAAGGCGGCCCCCUGGGCCGCUCCUGACGCUGAUACGCGAAGGCCAGGGUAGCGAACGGG
This 253-nucleotide ribosomal RNA is filed under the name uncultured bacterium. RNAcentral's name for it is "partial 16S ribosomal RNA". It matches the Rfam family "Bacterial small subunit ribosomal RNA", at positions 524 to 776 of the family's 1533-position model. The record is from RNAcentral.